This is a small nucleolar RNA of Mastomys coucha (southern multimammate mouse), 145 nucleotides long. RefSeq annotates it as small nucleolar RNA SNORA48. The record is from RefSeq and is a predicted model, not a curated record. Lineage: Eukaryota; Metazoa; Chordata; Mammalia; Rodentia; Muridae. The transcript has a single exon.
UGUCCACUGGCCAUGGGCAAAGAGGCACCUUGUUGGUGGUGUUCUUAUAUCAGUCAGGGACAGUUCAGUUGACAGUAGUCCUUUGUUCAUCCUAGCUUAAUGCCUGGCAUGGUGGCCAAAGCUCUUUUAUAUCUAGGUUACAUAA